Long non-coding RNA from Toxotes jaculatrix (banded archerfish), 1328 nucleotides. RefSeq lists it as uncharacterized. The transcript has 3 exons. Lineage: Eukaryota; Metazoa; Chordata; Actinopteri; Toxotidae. The record is from RefSeq and is a predicted model, not a curated record.
UCAGUCCAUGCCCACAGCUUUCUCGUCUCAGCGCUUUGUGAAAGUAGCAUUCAAGUUCUCCUUUAAUAGAAAUGCUCAGCUUGGCAGUCAGUAAAAACACUGCGGCUUUUGUCGAGGUAGCUUAGCAGGGAGGAAUGUGAAGUUUAUAAAUAAUUAGUCUCAGACAACUUGACACGGCUCACUUCUUGAUUGGCAGUGUGAUCCAAAAGCCAAGAAGCUACAUUCAUCAUGCAGUGUUACAUCAGGGCCUUGUGAACAUGGAUACACUUCCCAUCAACCAAGAACUUCAGGUCUGAAAUCUCUGGGCUGUCAAACUCCUUUUUCAGAGACUGGGCCACCGUCAAGUAGUCAUCGCCAUCUGAUGAAAACAAAGGAAGCAAGUUUUUCCACUGUAUUUCAAAGCAAAGAUAUAGCACCUGUCUACAGGGCAAGCAAAUACAUUCUUUUAUUGAAAUCCCAGAAAUUACCGUUUUAAAUGAUACCUUUAGACCCUCCAGAUAUGUAAAAAGUAUAUUCUAUAGAAUCACAAAUCUAAUUGGAAUCACUAUUUGUUCUUCAAACAGAUAAACAGAUAUCCCUAACCCUUAUGAGAUGAUUUCAGAGGCUUAUUAGUUAAAGAGAAUUUUCAGAGGGAUGUCAUUAACUUUACAAAAUGGAGCAUACACAGAAAAUAAGAUCUCAAAGAUAAGAUAAGAUAAGAUAAAAGGCAUGAUGCCAAAUGGUUAAAGCAAAAAUUCAUUGAUUAUUGAAGAUAUUUGAGUUCUGGGGCUCUUCUUCAGUUUUAGGAAUCUUUAUAUUCUUACACCACACUCACCUACUGAGAGGAGGUGCCAUGUGACUGCCGGUGUGGCGAAGCAUGCAAACACAUCAUCUGUGGUGCUGAAGUGGGUGAGGUGGGGGCUGGCCACGGCUUGACCUCGACACUGACCCCACAUCAGAACCUGCCCGCUCUGGGUCUUGGCAGCUGACGUGUGGCUGGUGUGACAUGCAGCCACCUCCACCAUCCUAGUGACAAGAACAGAAUUUAUACCUUGAAGUGUUAUUACCACACAGCCUGCUUAUGCAGGUUGUACGUUGAAUUAUGUCAAAUAUGUCGAGUAUAGAGGCAAAGAGGGCAUUUUAAUUAUAGACAAAAAGAAGCAGAUUUCCACAGUGAUCACCAACCAAACUCUUGUUACUCCAUGAUGUUUAACCAUAUAUGCCUUUGAAUCACUAAGUAACUAAUGGACAGUUUUUUUAAACUGUUCUCACUGGAUGUUGUCGUGCAGCCUGUAAUGCAGUGACCUGUUAUGCUGGCAGAAAGGUGUCACUGCUUUAGUCAGUAGGGG